Molecule: long non-coding RNA, 283 nt
Filed under: Lotus japonicus
Lineage: Eukaryota; Viridiplantae; Streptophyta; Magnoliopsida; Fabales; Fabaceae
Description: long non-coding RNA (LJAP_LNC001580)
Source: RNAcentral
UUCCAUCAUUCAUGUUUCCCCUCAUUCAUAACCAUAUGCUACCAGCCUACCACCAACUCCACUCCCAUCAUUCCUCAGAGGUGAAAGGAGGAAGAAGCAAAGGCAAGCUUGCAUCAACAAAAGCAUAAAUAAGAGGCAAGCUUGCAUCAACAACCAUGAAUCCUUCUCCACCACUGCAGUAAACCCCAGAGGUCAGAACAAAGCUCCUCCACCGUCCUCACUUUCGGUCGCUCCGCCACCGUAUCUCCGGUCACCGCUCGCCGUGCAAUCUCUGCCCAGCCAC